CAUUAUUGAAAUAAACCUGAUGGGUUGCUGCUGGCUCUCUAGGGAGCAUGUGCACACUUGUCAUCUUUAUAUCUCCACCUGUGCACCUUUUGUAGAUCUGGAUAUYUUUCUGAAUGCYUGSCAUUCAGGUUUGAGGAUUGACUUUUGUCUUUCCUUACAUUUCCAGGCCUAUGUUUUCUUCAUAUACACCAUUUAUGUUAUAGAAUGUAAUGAAAAGGGCCUUUGUGCCUACAAACCUUAUACAACUUUCAGCAACGGAUCUCUUGGCUCUCGCAUCGAUGAAGAACGCAGCGAAAUGCGAUAAGUAAUGUGAAUUGCAGAAUUCAGUGAAUCAUCGAAUCUUUGAACGCACCUUGCGCUCCUUGGUAUUCCGAGGAGCAUGCCUGUUUGAGUGUCAUUAAUAUAUCAACCUCCUCAGGUUUUGACUUGUCGAGUGUUUGGAUGUGGGGGUCUUUUGCUGGUCUCUUUUGAGGUCGGCUCCCCUAAAAUGCAUUAGCGGAACAAUUUGUUGACCCGUUCAUUGGUGUGAUAACUAUCUACGCUUUUGACGUGAAACAGGUUCAGCUUCUAACAGUCCAUUGACUUGGACAAAUUUUCAUUAAUGUG
This 606-nucleotide ribosomal RNA is filed under the name Cortinarius cf. polaris 29_N3F13. RNAcentral's name for it is "eukaryotic LSU rRNA". The stretch from base 244 to 397 matches the Rfam family "5.8S ribosomal RNA". The record is from RNAcentral. Lineage: Eukaryota; Fungi; Basidiomycota; Agaricomycetes; Agaricales; Cortinariaceae.